GGGUUGUGAGGUUAAGCGACUAAGCGUACACGGUGGAUGCCCUGGCAGUCAGAGGCGAUGAAGGACGUGCUAAUCUGCGAUAAGCGUCGGUAAGGUGAUAUGAACCGUUAUAACCGGCGAUUUCCGAAUGGGGAAACCCAGUGUGAUUCGUCACACUAUCAUUAACUGAAUCCAUAGGUUAAUGAGGCGAACCGGGGGAACUGAAACAUCUAAGUACCCCGAGGAAAAGAAAUCAACCGAGAUUCCCCCAGUAGCGGCGAGCGAACGGGGAGGAGCCCAGAGCCUGAAUCAGUGUGUGUGUUAGUGGAAGCGUCUGGAAAGGCGCGCGAUACAGGGUGACAGCCCCGUACACAAAAAUGCACAUGCUGUGAGCUCGAUGAGUAGGGCGGGACACGUGGUAUCCUGUCUGAAUAUGGGGGGACCAUCCUCCAAGGCUAAAUACUCCUGACUGACCGAUAGUGAACCAGUACCGUGAGGGAAAGGCGAAAAGAACCCCGGCGAGGGGAGUGAAAAAGAACCUGAAACCGUGUACGUACAAGCAGUGGGAGCACAGAGCAAUCUGUGUGACUGCGUACCUUUUGUAUAAUGGGUCAGCGACUUAUAUUCUGUAGCAAGGUUAACCGAAUAGGGGAGCCGAAGGGAAACCGAGUCUUAACUGGGCGUUAAGUUGCAGGGUAUAGACCCGAAACCCGGUGAUCUAGCCAUGGGCAGGUUGAAGGUUGGGUAACACUAACUGGAGGACCGAACCGACUAAUGUUGAAAAAUUAGCGGAUGACUUGUGGCUGGGGGUGAAAGGCCAAUCAAACCGGGAGAUAGCUGGUUCUCCCCGAAAGCUAUUUAGGUAGCGCCUCGUGAAUUCAUCUCCGGGGGUAGAGCACUGUUUCGGCAAGGGGGUCAUCCCGACUUACCAACCCGAUGCAAACUGCGAAUACCGGAGAAUGUUAUCACGGGAGACACACGGCGGGUGCUAACGUCCGUCGUGAAGAGGGAAACAACCCAGACCGCCAGCUAAGGUCCCAAAGUCAUGGUUAAGUGGGAAACGAUGUGGGAAGGCCCAGACAGCCAGGAUGUUGGCUUAGAAGCAGCCAUCAUUUAAAGAAAGCGUAAUAGCUCACUGGUCGAGUCGGCCUGCGCGGAAGAUGUAACGGGGCUAAACCAUGCACCGAAGCUGCGGCAGCGACACUGUGUGUUGUUGGGUAGGGGAGCGUUCUGUAAGCCUGUGAAGGUGUACUGUGAGGUAUGCUGGAGGUAUCAGAAGUGCGAAUGCUGACAUAAGUAACGAUAAAGCGGGUGAAAAGCCCGCUCGCCGGAAGACCAAGGGUUCCUGUCCAACGUUAAUCGGGGCAGGGUGAGUCGACCCCUAAGGCGAGGCCGAAAGGCGUAGUCGAUGGGAAACAGGUUAAUAUUCCUGUACUUGGUGUUACUGCGAAGGGGGGACGGAGAAGGCUAUGUUGGCCGGGCGACGGUUGUCCCGGUUUAAGCGUGUAGGCUGGUUUUCCAGGCAAAUCCGGAAAAUCAAGGCUGAGGCGUGAUGACGAGGCACUACGGUGCUGAAGCAACAAAUGCCCUGCUUCCAGGAAAAGCCUCUAAGCAUCAGGUAACAUCAAAUCGUACCCCAAACCGACACAGGUGGUCAGGUAGAGAAUACCAAGGCGCUUGAGAGAACUCGGGUGAAGGAACUAGGCAAAAUGGUGCCGUAACUUCGGGAGAAGGCACGCUGAUAUGUAGGUGAAGUCCCUCGCGGAUGGAGCUGAAAUCAGUCGAAGAUACCAGCUGGCUGCAACUGUUUAUUAAAAACACAGCACUGUGCAAACACGAAAGUGGACGUAUACGGUGUGACGCCUGCCCGGUGCCGGAAGGUUAAUUGAUGGGGUCAGCGCAAGCGAAGCUCUUGAUCGAAGCCCCGGUAAACGGCGGCCGUAACUAUAACGGUCCUAAGGUAGCGAAAUUCCUUGUCGGGUAAGUUCCGACCUGCACGAAUGGCGUAAUGAUGGCCAGGCUGUCUCCACCCGAGACUCAGUGAAAUUGAACUCGCUGUGAAGAUGCAGUGUACCCGCGGCAAGACGGAAAGACCCCGUGAACCUUUACUAUAGCUUGACACUGAACAUUGAGCCUUGAUGUGUAGGAUAGGUGGGAGGCUUUGAAGUGUGGACGCCAGUCUGCAUGGAGCCGACCUUGAAAUACCACCCUUUAAUGUUUGAUGUUCUAACGUGGACCCGUGAUCCGGGUUGCGGACAGUGUCUGGUGGGUAGUUUGACUGGGGCGGUCUCCUCCUAAAGAGUAACGGAGGAGCACGAAGGUUGGCUAAUCCUGGUCGGACAUCAGGAGGUUAGUGCAAUGGCAUAAGCCAGCUUGACUGCGAGCGUGACGGCGCGAGCAGGUGCGAAAGCAGGUCAUAGUGAUCCGGUGGUUCUGAAUGGAAGGGCCAUCGCUCAACGGAUAAAAGGUACUCCGGGGAUAACAGGCUGAUACCGCCCAAGAGUUCAUAUCGACGGCGGUGUUUGGCACCUCGAUGUCGGCUCAUCACAUCCUGGGGCUGAAGUAGGUCCCAAGGGUAUGGCUGUUCGCCAUUUAAAGUGGUACGCGAGCUGGGUUUAGAACGUCGUGAGACAGUUCGGUCCCUAUCUGCCGUGGGCGCUGGAGAACUGAGGGGGGCUGCUCCUAGUACGAGAGGACCGGAGUGGACGCAUCACUGGUGUUCGGGUUGUCAUGCCAAUGGCACUGCCCGGUAGCUAAAUGCGGAAGAGAUAAGUGCUGAAAGCAUCUAAGCACGAAACUUGCCCCGAGAUGAGUUCUCCCUGACCCUUUAAGGGUCCUGAAGGAACGUUGAAGACGACGACGUUGAUAGGCCGGGUGUGUAAGCGCAGCGAUGCGUUGAGCUAACCGGUACUAAUGAACCGUGAGGCUUAACCUUACAACGCCGAAGGUGUUU
RNAcentral lists this ribosomal RNA (2932 nucleotides) under Escherichia coli. Its description in RNAcentral is "23S ribosomal RNA". It matches the Rfam family "Bacterial large subunit ribosomal RNA". RNAcentral also lists the same sequence under 2 other names. Lineage: Bacteria; Pseudomonadati; Pseudomonadota; Gammaproteobacteria; Enterobacterales; Enterobacteriaceae. The record is from RNAcentral.